RNAcentral lists this ribosomal RNA (1493 nucleotides) under Massilia sp. Its description in RNAcentral is "bacterial SSU rRNA". It matches the Rfam family "Bacterial small subunit ribosomal RNA". The record is from RNAcentral. Lineage: Bacteria; Pseudomonadati; Pseudomonadota; Betaproteobacteria; Burkholderiales; Oxalobacteraceae.
AGAGUUUGAUCCUGGCUCAGAUUGAACGCUGGCGGCAUGCUUUACACAUGCAAGUCGAACGGCAGCGCGGGGCAACCUGGCGGCGAGUGGCGAACGGGUGAGUAAUAUAUCGGAACGUACCCAAGAGUGGGGGAUAACGUAGCGAAAGUUACGCUAAUACCGCAUACGAUCUAAGGAUGAAAGUGGGGGAUCGCAAGACCUCAUGCUCCUGGAGCGGCCGAUAUCUGAUUAGCUAGUUGGUAGGGUAAAGGCCUACCAAGGCUACGAUCAGUAGCUGGUCUGAGAGGACGACCAGCCACACUGGAACUGAGACACGGUCCAGACUCCUACGGGAGGCAGCAGUGGGGAAUUUUGGACAAUGGGCGCAAGCCUGAUCCAGCAAUGCCGCGUGAGUGAAGAAGGCCUUCGGGUUGUAAAGCUCUUUUGUCAGGGAAGAAACGGUUGGGGCUAAUAUCCUUUACUAAUGACGGUACCUGAAGAAUAAGCACCGGCUAACUACGUGCCAGCAGCCGCGGUAAUACGUAGGGUGCAAGCGUUAAUCGGAAUUACUGGGCGUAAAGCGUGCGCAGGCGGUUUUGUAAGUCUGAUGUGAAAUCCCCGGGCUCAACCUGGGAAUUGCAUUGGAGACUGCAAGGCUAGAAUCUGGCAGAGGGGGGUAGAAUUCCACGUGUAGCAGUGAAAUGCGUAGAGAUGUGGAGGAACACCGAUGGCGAAGGCAGCCCCCUGGGUCAAGAUUGACGCUCAUGCACGAAAGCGUGGGGAGCAAACAGGAUUAGAUACCCUGGUAGUCCACGCCCUAAACGAUGUCUACUAGUUGUCGGGUUUUAAUUAACUUGGUAACGCAGCUAACGCGUGAAGUAGACCGCCUGGGGAGUACGGUCGCAAGAUUAAAACUCAAAGGAAUUGACGGGGACCCGCACAAGCGGUGGAUGAUGUGGAUUAAUUCGAUGCAACGCGAAAAACCUUACCUACCCUUGACAUGUACGGAAGCCACGAGAGAUCGAGGUGUGCUCGAAAGAGAACCGUAACACAGGUGCUGCAUGGCUGUCGUCAGCUCGUGUCGUGAGAUGUUGGGUUAAGUCCCGCAACGAGCGCAACCCUUGUCAUUAGUUGCUACGAAAGAGCACUCUAAUGAGACUGCCGGUGACAAACCGGAGGAAGGUGGGGAUGACGUCAAGUCCUCAUGGCCCUUAUGGGUAGGGCUUCACACGUCAUACAAUGGUACAUACAGAGGGCCGCCAACCCGCGAGGGGGAGCUAAUCCCAGAAAGUGUAUCGUAGUCCGGAUUGUAGUCUGCAACUCGACUACAUGAAGUUGGAAUCGCUAGUAAUCGCGGAUCAGCAUGUCGCGGUGAAUACGUUCCCGGGUCUUGUACACACCGCCCGUCACACCAUGGGAGCGGGUUUUACCAGAAGUAGGUAGCUUAACCGCAAGGAGGGCGCUUACCACGGUAGGAUUCGUGACUGGGGUGAAGUCGUAACAAGGUAGCCGUA